AUGGCCAGACAUCACAAGUUCAGAGGCAAGCUGCACGCACCAUCUUCAGCCAAUUUUAUUCUCUGCAAAUAUUUGGAGAACCAUAACGAGCAGAUCAAGAAAUCUACGCGCGCCUUUCCGGUGAGCCUGACCCGCUACCCGCGCCCGUCAAGAGACCCGGAGGUAGGUCUCGAGGCGGAUGUCGUCGGACACCUCGAAGAUGAUCCACAGCGGCCCCCGAAUGCGGCACGCCUCCCGCAGCAUCCCACGCCCGUCGUCUGCGCGUGCGUUUGUUCAUCCCCAAUUCUAAAGGGAAUUUUCCGGAGCAAUAGUGAGAGGUUGGAGAGUGGUAAAAAUGCGGGUAAAAAGGAGAUCUUGGAGAGAGCUGAUCUGGUGGAGGGUGCCCUGAAGGCCUUCGAUGGCGCGACGGCUGAAGCCAUCGGCGGCGGCGGUGAGCGCGCGGAGGGUGUGGUCCGCUUUCCAUGGGCUCCCACCAGCUUCUUAUCCUCCCAUCUGCUCCGCCAUCAGCUCUGCACUCGGCGCUGCUCCUACGUCGGCUCUGUGCCAUUGCCAGCGCUCGCAUAA
This 564-nucleotide ribosomal RNA is filed under the name Triticum aestivum (bread wheat). Its description in RNAcentral is "partial small subunit ribosomal RNA". Lineage: Eukaryota; Viridiplantae; Streptophyta; Magnoliopsida; Poales; Poaceae. The record is from RNAcentral.